AUCUCCAAGAUCUGGCCUGUCCGAGUUGGAGGAACGCGCUGGGUUAGCCAUACCCACACAGCACUGCAAAACAUGUUGCGUGGUUACCGUGCAAUUGUUCUUCAUCUCAGUCAAGUUGCCACCACCAGGACAGCUAGUGGUAUGCAAGCAAAGGCAAAAGGUCUCCUGAAAACGCUGCGCUCCAAAGAUGCCAUGACUUUUGCCCACUUCCUAAGUGACAUUAUGGCCGUUCUCUCCAAACUGUCGAAGACGCUGCAGCAGAGAGAAGUUUGUACCUAUCAUGUACAUGAAGCACUGAAGGCCACAAUGACCAGCAUCAACAAAUUCAAGGACCGGGCAGGACCUGAGCAGCGGAAACUCCAGC
Molecule: long non-coding RNA, 364 nt
Organism: Eleginops maclovinus (Patagonian blennie)
Lineage: Eukaryota; Metazoa; Chordata; Actinopteri; Perciformes; Eleginopidae
Exons: 3
Source: RefSeq, a predicted model, not a curated record